Molecule: ribosomal RNA, 207 nt
Filed under: uncultured bacterium
Lineage: Bacteria
Description: partial 16S ribosomal RNA
Rfam family: Bacterial small subunit ribosomal RNA
Source: RNAcentral
UCCGUAGGCGGUCUAAUAAGUCAGUGGUGAAAGCCCAUCGCUUAACGAUGGAACGGCCAUUGAUACUGUUAGACUUGAAUUACUGGGAAGUAACUAGAAUAUGUAGUGUAGCGGUGAAAUGCUUAGAUAUUACAUGGAAUACCAAUUGCGAAGGCAGGUUACUACCAGUUGAUUGACGCUGAUGGACGAAAGCGUGGGGAGCGAACA